ACCCUAGUUAACGUGGUACCCAUUAGUCUUCACUUAGGUCCCACGUUAACUAGGGUAGGUCCUGUUAGUCUUCACUUGGGACAUACCCUAGUUAAUGUGGGACCUGUUAGUAUUCACUUAGGACAUACCCUAGUUAACUUGGGACCAAUUAGUCCAGCUAAUCACUGACACAGAAAGUGCUCUGAACACUGAAGGAGCACAGGGGAUAAUGAGGAUAAUGACUAUUAAUUACUAUUAAAAAAAUUGGCAGAGUGAAUGCCAGAAAAUUAAAAGAUACGUUCUCUGUCAUGGGCUGCCAGUCACAAUAAAAGUGACUGGGAGUGAAAUGGGCGGCAAGAAUAAUGCAGGAGAAAGGUGCCAGGCUGGGACAGCACUUGUAUUGUAUUUACAUAAGGUGAAUGUGAUUACAUGCAUUGACAUACAUUUCAUUGUAUGUAUUCACAUUUACCAGGAGGAGCUUUGCUUUUGUGUUGAUUUAGACGGCGCCUGCGGACAAAGGUAGUUGUGUCCAACCACACCAAGGCUGCCUGAGGAGACCUUUCUUACAGCAGCAGGGUCCUACCAUCUGGAGCAAAGGAGUAGCUAGGAGCUCUUCUCCCAGCAACUGUAAGGCUAAAUCACUUUUAUUUAUUUGGAUAUGAACAAUGUCUAGCAACCCAAUGGUAAAGAGUUAUCUAAGUAAAUGUGAAGCAUUGUGAAUAUAUGACAUGCCCAGAAACUAAUCCAACACACGUUCCUGCACACAGUUAAACAGAACCAGGUGUCGCCAUGUUUCUUUUUGUCAAGCUUGUCCGACCUAGCUGCACCAACUGAGGGGGCGGGGGGGCAGGUUGAUGUGGACGUCUCAGGGCAUCUGGUAAAUGGAAGGAGAGGUUCCUAAGAAACGCACGGAGACAAGGAAAGAGGGGCAGACUGACAGAUGUGCCACCAGGAAAGAUACCAACGUUCCUUUUGCUUCACUGAUGUUUGUCAGUCUCUAGUACGGAAAGAGUCAUCCUACUGUUUGCUCAGUUUCUUUUGUGUACCAAACCAAAACCAAACAGCGAACAGAUUGACAAAACACAGAACCAGCUUCCUUGCUGCGGGGGCUCUGCAGCUGCCCAUUAGCUCAGCCUCAGCGGGGCAGCUGUGCGGGAACGGACAGCUUGUCAUGAUGAGUGACAGAGGAUGAGGGGGGAGGUUUGAGGCGGGGGCGGGGGGCACUUUACCAGUUUGAGCUGCUUUCAAGCUGUUACUUGUACAUUGUGUCUAUGUAUUGACGAAUUCACUGAAUUGUAAUACAGUCUGGUCCAUCCCUCCGUGCUGGUUGUACCUGAUCCUCGGUUUUGUUGUGUUCAAAAAUGAAGAAACGCCGGACGGACAGAGGUCAUCGCUGAUCAAAAGGUUAAAUCAAAUGUAUUUAAUAAAGGAGAUGGCGGUAAAAAGAACAUCGCAGCUGAGGAGCCGCUGGUCUCAGCGACCAACAGGCCCCAGGUCAGUCCUUUGACCAUCCCUAGUGCCAGUUUGUCGCCUCCAUCAGCGAACUCGAGAACAAUGGUUCCUACAGGUAUUUAUAACAAUGCUUAAAGGUGUGAAAGUCAGUGUCCACACCUCCGGGAGUGGUCUUCUGGUGAGUU
Long non-coding RNA from Gasterosteus aculeatus aculeatus (three-spined stickleback), 1616 nucleotides. The record is from Ensembl. NCBI's taxonomy places the organism in Eukaryota, Metazoa, Chordata, Actinopteri, Perciformes, Gasterosteidae.